UACAGAGGUCUCAAGCGUUGUUCGGAUUCAUUGGGCGUAAAGGGUGUGUAGGUGGCGCGCUAAGUCGGGUGUGAAAUCUCGGAGCUUAACUCCGAAACUGCAUUCGAUACUGCCGUGCUUGAGGACUGGAGAGGAGACUGGAAUUUACGGUGUAGCGGUGAAAUGCGUAGAUAUCGUAAGGAAGACCAGUGGCGAAGGCGGGUCUCUGGACAGUUCCUGACGCUGAGGCACGAAGGCCAGGGGAGCAAACAGG
RNAcentral lists this ribosomal RNA (253 nucleotides) under uncultured bacterium. Its description in RNAcentral is "partial 16S ribosomal RNA". It matches the Rfam family "Bacterial small subunit ribosomal RNA", at positions 524 to 776 of the family's 1533-position model. The record is from RNAcentral.